ACUUAAAUAGCUUAAUAAGAGCACGAUAUUGAAGAUAUCUAGGUGAUUUCUUGAUCUUUA
RNAcentral lists this transfer RNA (60 nucleotides) under Cheironitis sp. MJTNT-2012. Its description in RNAcentral is "tRNA-Phe". The record is from RNAcentral. Lineage: Eukaryota; Metazoa; Arthropoda; Insecta; Coleoptera; Scarabaeidae.